This 736-nucleotide long non-coding RNA is filed under the name Daucus carota (carrot). Its description in RNAcentral is "long non-coding RNA (DCAR_LNC006139)". Lineage: Eukaryota; Viridiplantae; Streptophyta; Magnoliopsida; Apiales; Apiaceae. The record is from RNAcentral.
GGAGACCUGACACCUACGAAGAGGGUACGCCUCCCCCGGAGAGAGUACACCUCCCCCGGACAGAGUACACCUCCCCUGACAGGGUACGCCUGCAGGUGAUGUGGUGUCUGACGACCACCGUGAGGAAUGCAUCCCUUGACACCUACGAAGAGGGUACGCCUCCCCCGGACAGGGUACACCUCCCCCGGAUAGAGUACACCUCCCCAGGACAGGGUACACCUCCCUCUGACAGGGUACACCUCCAAGUGAUGUGGUGCUCGACUACCACCGUGAGGAAUGAAUUCCCUGACACCUCCGAAGAAGGCGCACCUCCGGGUAAGAUUCUCACAAUGCUUUCGCAUGUUAUUGCUAACAAGUCUGUUGUGGUUUGAGUCUUUACGAGAAGGAGAUCGCCUCCCUGGAAGCCUCAACGGUUUUCUGAAGGGGCGCGCCCUCCCCAGAGCAAGUAAUUUGAGGUUCGCGAGAGGCGCAUGUUGGAGGCCUGACCACGUGUGAUGAUAUGAACGGGAAGGUUACGAAGGGCGAGCUAUUGAGAUGGAACCUAGCUCGAAAAGUCGUAAGGGUGCGCGCCUUCCCCUGACCGGGCGCGCCCUCAGGUAAAUACUAAACUCCCCCAGUAUUUGGUUCCCUAAGACUACUACAUGUGUAAAAUUCACAGGUAAUAUGGUGUUACCUUUAUGAGGAAUACACCUCUUCGCCGUGAGGAGUAGUCGCACUUUCCUCCAGCAAGGCGCGC